AAGUAGUAUUUACCAUACACAGUCUGUCACAAUUUGAUUUAUGACCCCUGAUUUAUGGCUUGAUUUAUGAUCUUUUGAUUUAUGGCAUGCUGACUGACAAGGCUUGGGACAUGUCUGAUUGACAGGCUGACAUGUUUAUUACCCCACCAGCAACCCCCACCCUUGUCUUCUGCCGCAGACGUCACCUCACACCCACCCGGAUGUAACUUGUUUUACGACCUACACAGGCACCCCUAAACAAACACCAUCCAACACUAUGUAAAUUAUCUCACAGUUGUUUGAUAAGAGCCCCCCCUCAGUGUUAAUUGUAUGCAAAACAAUGCUGUAGCCAUGCUGUCUACUAUGUAUCAGAUCUUGUUGUUUGGUGUGUGAGACUUUAAGCUUUGUUUAAUUUGAAGACAUUUAAAAUAUAUGUUUUAUAUUAUGGGUGUCAAUUAAAUCAUUGUAAAUGAUCGGACUGUUAAAUGUUUUUUUAAAGCUAUUGUGUGGUCGCAUUUACCACCUAACCAAUCUAUGCUGGUCUUUUACGUUUAGUCUGUUCAUUUUGAGAUGUCUUUAAGGCAUACAUUUCAGAACAUUAUGUUUUAAAUGUAAAGUAAAUGUAUGGAAUCCUUUUAGUUUUAGUCUGUCCACAUUAAGAUGUUUUUUUUUUUUUUUAAGGUCUACAUUUUCAGCUUGUUAUGUUUUAAAUGUGGUUGAUGUUAAAUGUUUGGAUUGUUAUUUGUGUAAAACAACACACUUUUACCUAAACACAUUAAAAAAGUAAGAUACAUGUUUAAUGUAAUCUCUUAAGUAUAAAUUCUAAACCUGUGAAUAAAAAUAAUCGAAUUUUCAGUUUAACAAUUUUAAGAAUCUGUAUCGACACAUAAUACCACAUCUACUAAACCUAUUUACAUGGUAGUUACGUUUCAAAAGCUACACCAAUCACAGGCUAAAUGUUUUAAAUAUGUUAAUAGCGGUAGGAGUGGUCUACGUGGCCUUGUAUAUAGAUGGCUCACAACUCUGUUGGAGGUACCCAUUCAGACGCUAGCCUGAAAAAACCACGAUGGACGCAAGCUUUCUUGGUAUUUUCUUGGUCUAGGAACCUGUGAGCUGGAAAUAAUCCAAGCCGUUCAAAAUAUUGAAGGUUUAUCUCAACUUUGUGAGUAGUCUGUGAACACAUCGGCGCAUGUGGACCCUCUUGCAGGUCUAAAACGCUUAGUGGAUAGUAUCACGCCACCCGGAUUCGACAAUUUGUACACACAGCCAAAAAAUCCUCAACUACAGGAUAUAACCAACAACAGCGGAUACAGGAGAGCCUUUAAGCCAAACUUAACGAGCAGUCCGGAGGUGUUGCUUGGUAAACGUUGCAACAGGGAACCAUCUUCAAGCAGAAAACGCAUCAGGCUGGAAGACAGCUGCAUACUGUUAGAUACAGGUACAUACAUUUCGGCAUACUCUAC
This is a long non-coding RNA of Astyanax mexicanus (Mexican tetra), 1442 nucleotides long. RefSeq lists it as uncharacterized. The transcript is spliced from 4 exons. The record is from RefSeq and is a predicted model, not a curated record. NCBI's taxonomy places the organism in Eukaryota, Metazoa, Chordata, Actinopteri, Characiformes, Acestrorhamphidae.